RNAcentral lists this ribosomal RNA (258 nucleotides) under uncultured prokaryote. Its description in RNAcentral is "partial 16S ribosomal RNA". It matches the Rfam family "Bacterial small subunit ribosomal RNA", at positions 524 to 782 of the family's 1533-position model. The record is from RNAcentral.
CACGUAGGGGCGAGCGUUGUCCGGAAUUACUGGGCGUAAAGGGCGCGCAGGCUGUUAUGCGAGUCUGCUGUGAAAUGUACCGGCUCAACCGGUGCCUUGCGGCGGAUACUGCAUAGCUGGAGUACUGGAGAGGGAAGCGGAAUUCCUAGUGUAGCGGUGAAAUGCGUAGAUAUUAGGAGGAACACCAGUGGCGAAGGCGGCUUUCUGGCCGACAACUGACGCUGAGGCGCGAAAGCGUGGGGAGCAAACAGGAUUAGA